GUGCCGCACUUCAGCAGCACAUAUAGUAAAGCUGGAACAAUACAGAGAAGAUUAGCAUGGCCCCUGUGCAAAGAUGACAUGCAAAUUCGUACAAAAAAUAUAU
This 103-nucleotide small nuclear RNA is filed under the name Chelydra serpentina (North American snapping turtle). Lineage: Eukaryota; Metazoa; Chordata; Testudines; Chelydridae. The record is from RNAcentral.